UACGUAGGGGGCGAGCGUUGUCCGAAGUUACUGGGCGUAAAGAGCGCGUAGGCGGGUCUUUAAGUGAGUGGUGAAAGGUUAGGGCUCAACCCUAACACUGCCUUUCAUACUGGAGACCUUGAGUGCGGGAGAGGCGAGUGGAAUGGUCGGUGUAGCGGUGAGAUGCGUAGAUAUCGAUCGGAACACCCAUGGCGAAGGCAGCUCGCUGGCCUGCAACUGACGCUGAGGCGCGAAAGCGUGGGGAGCAAACAGG
This 253-nucleotide ribosomal RNA is filed under the name uncultured bacterium. Its description in RNAcentral is "partial 16S ribosomal RNA". It matches the Rfam family "Bacterial small subunit ribosomal RNA", at positions 524 to 776 of the family's 1533-position model. The record is from RNAcentral.